Molecule: non-coding RNA, 79 nt
Organism: Trichobilharzia regenti
Lineage: Eukaryota; Metazoa; Platyhelminthes; Trematoda; Strigeidida; Schistosomatidae
Source: Rfam
AGCCCCCUUGUAUUCGUGCUGAGAUUUCGUCAAAGAUCAGCCCGUUGUGGCUGAUGGUACUUCCCAAAUAAGUGAAGCG